RNAcentral lists this ribosomal RNA (499 nucleotides) under uncultured Glomeromycotina. Its description in RNAcentral is "partial small subunit ribosomal RNA". It matches the Rfam family "Eukaryotic small subunit ribosomal RNA", at positions 591 to 1092 of the family's 1831-position model. Lineage: Eukaryota; Fungi; Glomeromycota. The record is from RNAcentral.
CCAAUAGCGUAUAUUAAAGUUGCUGCAGUUAAAAAGCUCGUAGUUGAAUUUCGGGACUAAUAUGUCGGUCGUGCCUCGGUACGUACUGGUAUUUUUGGUUUCUCCCUUCUGACGAACCUUGAUGUCAUUAAUUUGGUGUCUUGGGAAAUCAGGACUGUUACUUUGAAAAAAUUAGAGUGUUUAAAGCAGGCUCACGCUUGAAUACAUUAGCAUGGAAUAAUGAAAUAGGACGUUUGAUUCUAUUUUGUUGGUUUCUAGGAUCGACGUAAUGAUUAAUAGGGAUAGUUGGGGGCAUUAGUAUUCAAUUGUCAGAGGUGAAAUUCUUGGAUUUAUUGAAGACUAACUACUGCGAAAGCAUUUGCCAAGGAUGUUUUCAUUAAUCAAGAACGAAAGUUAGGGGAUCGAAGACGAUCAGAUACCGUCGUAGUCUUAACCACAAACUAUGCCGACUAGGGAUCGGAUGAUGUUAAUUUUUUAAUGACUCAUUCGGCGCCUUACG